Molecule: ribosomal RNA, 496 nt
Filed under: uncultured bacterium
Lineage: Bacteria
Description: partial 16S ribosomal RNA
Rfam family: Bacterial small subunit ribosomal RNA
Source: RNAcentral
GAUGAACGCUGACGGCGUGCCUAAUACAUGCAAGUCGAGCGAACGGACGAGAAGCUUGCUUCUCUGAUGUUAGCGGCGGACGGGUGAGUAACACGUGGAUAACCUACCUAUAAGACUGGGAUAACUUCGGGAAACCGGAGCUAAUACCGGAUAAUAUUUUGAACCGCAUGGUUCAAAAGUGAAAGACGGUCUUGCUGUCACUUAUAGAUGGAUCCGCGCUGCAUUAGCUAGUUGGUAAGGUAACGGCUUACCAAGGCAACGAUGCAUAGCCGACCUGAGAGGGUGAUCGGCCACACUGGAACUGAGACACGGUCCAGACUCCUACGGGAGGCAGCAGUAGGGAAUCUUCCGCAAUGGGCGAAAGCCUGACGGAGCAACGCCGCGUGAGUGAUGAAGGUCUUCGGAUCGUAAAACUCUGUUAUUAGGGAAGAACAUAUGUGUAAGUAACUGUGCACAUCUUGACGGUACCUAAUCAGAAAACCACGGCUAACUACGU